This 406-nucleotide ribosomal RNA is filed under the name uncultured bacterium. Its description in RNAcentral is "partial 16S ribosomal RNA". It matches the Rfam family "Bacterial small subunit ribosomal RNA", at positions 30 to 526 of the family's 1533-position model. The record is from RNAcentral.
AUUGAACGCUGGCGGCAGGCCUAACACAUGCAAGUCGAACGAGUGGCGGACGGGUGAGUAAUGUCUGGGAAACUGCCUGAUGGAGGGGGAUAAGUACUGGAAACGGUAGCUAAUACCGCAUACCAUCAGAUGUGCCCAGAUGGGAUUAGCUUGUUGGUGGGGUAACGGCUCACAAAGGCGACGAUCCCUAGCUGGUCUGAGAGGAUGACCAGCAACACUGGAACUGGGACACGGUCCGGAGACCUACGGGAGGCAGCAGUGGGGAAUAUUGCACAAUGGGCGAAAGCCGAAUGCAGACAUGCCGCGUGUAGGAAGAAGGCCUUCGGGUUGUAAAGUAAUUUCAGCGGGGAGGCGUUACCCGCAGAAGAAGCACCGGCUAACUCCGUGCCAGCCGCCGCGGUAAUUC